Molecule: long non-coding RNA, 1528 nt
Organism: Schistocerca gregaria
Lineage: Eukaryota; Metazoa; Arthropoda; Insecta; Orthoptera; Acrididae
Exons: 2
Source: RefSeq, a predicted model, not a curated record
AAAUGAUUAUUCUCAACAAACCAUAAGGACAUUGGUACUUUAUACUUCAUAUUUGGAGCAUGAGCAGGAAUAGUAGGAACAUCAAUAAGAAUACUUAUUCGUGCUGAACUUGGCCAACCCGGAUCUCUAAUUGGGGAUGACCAGAUUUAUAAUGUUAUUAUUACAGCUCACGCAUUCGUAAUAAUUUUCUUUGUAGUAAUACCUAUUAUAAUUGGUGGAUUUGGUAAUUGACUUGUUCCACUAAUAAUUGGUGCACCAGAUUUAGCAUUUCCACGAAUAAAUAAUAUAAGUUUUUGAUUACUACCACCUUCACUAACCCUUCUUCUUACAUCUUCUAUAGUAGAUAAUGGUGCUGGUACAGGAUGAACAGUUUACCCUCCUCUAGCAGGAGCUAUUGCACACGGGGGUGCAUCUGUAGAUCUAGCUAUUUUUUCACUGCACUUAGCAGGUGUAUCAUCUAUUCUUGGUGCAGUGAAUUUCAUUACAACAGCAAUUAAUAUACGAUCAGAAAGUAUAACUUUAGAUCAAACACCUUUAUUUGUAUGAUCUGUAGCUAUUACAGCAUUACUUCUCCUUCUUUCACUUCCAGUUUUAGCAGGAGCUAUUACUAUAUUAUUAACAGAUCGAAAUUUAAAUACAUCAUUCUUUGACCCUGCAGGAGGGGGUGACCCAAUUCUAUAUCAACAUCUAUUUUGAUUCUUUGGACACCCAGAAGUUUAUAUUUUAAUUCUACCGGGGUUCGGAAUUAUUUCACAUAUUGUAUGUCAAGAAAGAGGAAAAAUUGAAUCAUUUGGAACAUUAGGUAUAAUUUAUGCUAUACUAUCAAUUGGACUAAUAGGAUUUAUUGUAUGAGCACAUCAUAUAUUUACAGUAGGAAUGGAUGUUGACACACGAGCAUAUUUUACAUCAGCAACAAUAAUUAUUGCUGUACCUACAGGAAUUAAGGUAUUUAGAUGAUUAGCUACAUUAUAUGGAACUAAAUUCAAGUUCAAUCCACCAUUAUUAUGAGCUCUAGGAUUUAUUUUCCUAUUUACAAUUGGUGGAUUAACAGGAUUAGUAUUAGCAAAUUCAUCACUUGAUAUUGUAUUACAUGAUACAUAUUAUGUAGUAGCCCACUUUCAUUAUGUAUUAUCUAUAGGAGCAGUAUUUGCAAUUAUAGGAGGUGUCAUUCAAUGAUAUCCACUAUUUACAGGAUUAACUAUAAAUAAUACAUGAUUAAAAAUCCAAUUUACAAUUAUAUUCAUUGGAGUAAAUUUAACAUUCUUUCCUCAACACUUCCUAGGAUUAGCAGGAAUACCUCGACGAUACUCUGACUACCCAGACGCAUAUACAUCAUGAAACGUAGUAUCAAGAAUUGGGUCUACAAUUUCUAUUGUAGGAAUCAUUAUAUUCAUUGUAAUUAUAUGAGAAAGAAUGAUUACAAACCGAGCAAUUAUAUUUAGAGCUAACAUAAGAAGAUCAACAGAAUGACUACAAAAUAACCCUCCUGCAGAACAUAGUUACUCAGAAUUACCAUUAAUCUCUAGAU